AAAAUAAAAUAGUAAUAGUAAUAAUAAUAAUAAUAAUAACAAUAACACCAGAAGGAAAAGCAGAGUGGGAAUACAGAUCAGUGGUUCAGGGUGUGGCUGCCUGACCAGAAGCAUCGGCAUCGCCAGCGAACUUGAAAAUGCAAAUUCUCAGGUCCCACCUCGGACCUGCUGCAUCCGCAACUCCAGGGGAGGGCCCACUAAUGUAUUUAACAAGGCCCCCAGGUGAUUCGGAUGCACACUCCGGUCUGAGAACCUCGAGGUUUAGGUGGAAAAGCUUCACCAGGAGUUGAUUGCUGAGGCUGAGAACUAAGUUCCUGUGUGAGGGGGUUCAUAGGCAUGUCUGAAAUUUCCUGUAGUAGUUAAAGGAAUAAUGAAGCCCACUGGGAGAGGGGAGAGUGUGUACGAUGGGGGACGGGUCAUAGCUGGACAGCCUCCGGAGCUAGCAGUGGACAAACGCAUUCUCUUGAAUGUCAUUCACAAGUACUGUGUUGGGGCCCGUGUCUUUAUUGCCUUUGGGAUUAAGUCCGGGCUAAUGGUUGCAUUAGCAGCAGGCUUUGACAGGGAGCUCUAACCCCUCUGGACCAACCCCAGCUCCUCAAGUUUCUCUGAGCAACUUCACCCCUUCCUUUGAGGCCCUAGUAAAGGUUCAGUCCUGGAACCUCAGCUCUCUCGAAGAAGCAACUAUUUUAAUUUUCAAUUUCCUACUAAAGCCGUGAGACUUUAAAAACAGCCACUCACUCGAACUGCUUUAUCAGCCACAGACAUGACGCAAUUAAUUAGCUGUACGCAGCCUCUCGCCACACAAGCUGCUUGAGUUCUAGCCCAUUGUAGUUCUGGUUUACUUAGCAGAUAUGGCCUAAGAGCCCGUAACUGUUUACCUCCCUCUGGAGGGGCUGUCCUGGGCAGACGAAUUCAUUAGUUGGUGUUUGCAGAGAGGCAGGAAUCCAAGGAAAGCAUUAGGAGGGGCUUCAGUGAGGCCUGCGAUGUGCAGGGACGUUUUUCUGGAGCAGCAAGGCCUGGGAGCAGGGAGGCUGCCUGGCCCUCGGCCAUGAGCCGCAACAUCAUGGAAGGCUGUGUCCGAUGUUGAGCUUCUGGCCACGUGUGGCUGUGUACAUUUAAAUUAAUUAAAAUAAAAUAAAAUUAAAAAUCCA
Phyllostomus discolor (pale spear-nosed bat) is the source of this 1151-nucleotide long non-coding RNA. RefSeq lists it as uncharacterized. NCBI's taxonomy places the organism in Eukaryota, Metazoa, Chordata, Mammalia, Chiroptera, Phyllostomidae. The transcript has 2 exons. The record is from RefSeq and is a predicted model, not a curated record.